UUUAUGGAGAGUUUGAUCCUGGCUCAGGAUGAACGCUGGCGGCGUGCCUAAUACAUGCAAGUCGAGCGAACGGACGAGAAGCUUGCUUCUCUGAUGUUAGCGGCGGACGGGUGAGUAACACGUGGAUAACCUACCUAUAAGACUGGGAUAACUUCGGGAAACCGUAGCUAAUACCGGAUAAUAUUUUGAACCGCAUGGUUCAAAAGUGAAAGACGGUCUUGCUGUCACUUAUAGAUGGAUCCGCGCUGCAUUAGCUAGUUGGUAAGGUAACGGCUUACCAAGG
RNAcentral lists this ribosomal RNA (283 nucleotides) under Staphylococcus aureus. RNAcentral's name for it is "partial 16S ribosomal RNA". It matches the Rfam family "Bacterial small subunit ribosomal RNA", at positions 1 to 273 of the family's 1533-position model. Lineage: Bacteria; Bacillati; Bacillota; Bacilli; Caryophanales; Staphylococcaceae. The record is from RNAcentral.